GACAGAGGGUGCAAACGUUGUGCGGAAUUACUGGGCGUAAAGCGCGUGUAGGCGGCUCGGAAAGUCGGAUGUGAAAGCCCUGGGCUUAACCUAGGAAGUGCAUUCGAAACUCCCGUAGCUUGAGUUCUGGAGAGGAAGGCGGAAUUCUCGGUGUAGAGGUGAAAUUCGUAGAUAUCGAGAGGAACACCGGUGGCGAAGGCGGCCUUCUGGACAGUGACUGACGCUGAGACGCGAAAGCGUGGGGAGCAAACAGG
RNAcentral lists this ribosomal RNA (254 nucleotides) under uncultured bacterium. Its description in RNAcentral is "partial 16S ribosomal RNA". It matches the Rfam family "Bacterial small subunit ribosomal RNA", at positions 524 to 776 of the family's 1533-position model. The record is from RNAcentral.